Molecule: transfer RNA, 72 nt
Filed under: Mesocricetus auratus (golden hamster)
Lineage: Eukaryota; Metazoa; Chordata; Mammalia; Rodentia; Cricetidae
Rfam family: tRNA
About the family: Transfer RNA (tRNA) molecules are approximately 80 nucleotides in length. Their secondary structure includes four short double-helical elements and three loops (D, anti-codon, and T loops). Further hydrogen bonds mediate the characteristic L-shaped molecular structure. tRNAs have two regions of fundamental functional importance: the anti-codon, which is responsible for specific mRNA codon recognition, and the 3' end, to which the tRNAs corresponding amino acid is attached (by aminoacyl-tRNA synthetases). tRNAs cope with the degeneracy of the genetic code in two manners: having more than one tRNA (with a specific anti-codon) for a particular amino acid; and 'wobble' base-pairing, i.e. permitting non-standard base-pairing at the 3rd anti-codon position.
Source: Rfam by way of RNAcentral
AGGGGCACAGUUCAGUGGCAGAGCAUUUGACUGCAGAUCAAGAGGUCCCCGGUUCAAAUCCAGGUGCCCCCU